RNAcentral lists this ribosomal RNA (497 nucleotides) under uncultured bacterium. RNAcentral's name for it is "partial 16S ribosomal RNA". It matches the Rfam family "Bacterial small subunit ribosomal RNA", at positions 28 to 507 of the family's 1533-position model. The record is from RNAcentral.
GAUGAACGCUGGCGGCGUGCCUAAUACAUGCAAGUCGAGCGAACAGAUGAGGAGCUUGCUCCUCUGACGUUAGCGGCGGACGGGUGAGUAACACGUGGAUAACCUACCUAUAAGACUGGGAUAACUUCGGGAAACCGGAGCUAAUACCGGAUAAUAUAUUUAACCGCAUGGUUCAAUAGUGAAAGACGGUUUUGCUGUAACUUAUAGAUGGAUCCGCGCCGCAUUAGCUAGUUGGUAAGGUAACGGCUUACCAAGGCAACGAUGCGUAGCCGACCUGAGAGGGUGAUCGGCCACACUGGAACUGAGAAACGGUCCAGAACCCUAAGGGAGGCCGCAGUAGGGAAUCUUCCGCAAUGGGCGAAAGCCUGACGGAGCAACGCAGCGUGAGUGAUGAAGGUCUUCGGAUCGUAAAACUCUGUUAUUAGGGAAGAACAAAUGUGUAAGUAACUAUGCACGUCUUGACGGUACCUAAUCAGAAAGCCACGGCUAACUACGUG